UACGUAGGGUGCGAGCGUUGUCCGGAAUUAUUGGGCGUAAAGAGCUUGUAGGCGGUUUGUCGCGUCUGCUGUGAAAAUCCGGGGCUCAACCCCGGACUUGCAGUGGGUACGGGCAGACUAGAGUGUGGUAGGGGAGACUGGAAUUCCUGGUGUAGCGGUGAAAUGCGCAGAUAUCAGGAGGAACACCAAUGGCGAAGGCAGGUCUCUGGGCAGUUACUGACGCUGAGGAGCGAAAGCAUGGGUAGCGAACAGGAUUAGAUACCCCGGUA
Molecule: ribosomal RNA, 269 nt
Filed under: uncultured prokaryote
Description: partial 16S ribosomal RNA
Rfam family: Bacterial small subunit ribosomal RNA
Source: RNAcentral